GCCUGGACAGCCUGGCCAAUUAAACAUUGGACUUCACAGGUAGGCCAUCUAGAGCAGGGCCCAUAUCCCGGCACAACGCCCGGUCUACGUUUUUGAACUACGACUCCCGUAAUGCCUCGGGGCAUGUGAACAAACGGUGUAAAGAUGCCACGGAGCCAACGACUUAGCCGGUAGCCAAACACUGGCUCUACGGGUCUUAAAGCACCUUCAGUUUCCUCCAUGAGCUGUGUGUCGCAGCCGCCGCAGCCGACUGUGACUUGUCCUCAGCUGUGCUUACUGCACCUACCUCCCACCAUGUCAACCAGUUCAACAGAAAACCAGAUUUGUAUGCACACAAAGAGGAUCUGAAUUAAACAGCGUGGUGAAAAUGCCAGUCAUAGUUUAUGAAAUGCCAAUGGUGGGUUGCCCUGAGGGCCUAAGAGGUGCCGACCAUGAACGGCAACGACAGUGAUUUGCACCUGGCCGAGGACCUUUGUUGCAGGUCAUUCUCACCUCUCUCUCCUGAUUUCCUGUCAUUUCUCGCUCUAAUAAAAGCAUUAAAAUGCCAAAAUAAAUGAAUAAAAUGGCAGUGACAUUGGAUACAUGGGUACAAAAAAUACCCUAUAGUAUUUUACAGUACAGUAUGAAUUUACAGUUGUACACCACUGCUCCCAUGGGCUACCAUGUGUGAUCUGUGGGAGCCUGAGGCGAUGUAUUAUGAGUGGAGAUU
Long non-coding RNA from Xiphias gladius (swordfish), 709 nucleotides. RefSeq lists it as uncharacterized. NCBI's taxonomy places the organism in Eukaryota, Metazoa, Chordata, Actinopteri, Istiophoriformes, Xiphiidae. The transcript has 3 exons. The record is from RefSeq and is a predicted model, not a curated record.